CAAAGACAUAAUUAGUUAACCCUAGCAGAAUUUGGUUUUGAUUUGCCAAAAGUCCUGUGUAAUAACAUCAUGAGCUCCAGCAGCGUCAAUAUUCAAGAGGCUCUUCUUCCCACUAAGCCUCCACCUAAUGGAAGUAGCUCAACUUCUUCAAGCCUCCAAAAUCAGAUGUACUACGUGAUUUUAAGUGAAAAUACGCUCAAAUUUAUGAUUAUUUUAUAUAUCAUAAUGGACAUUAGUAAAAAGAAAGAAAAAACGUGUCUUUCAUCGUGAUGAAUUUGGCCCGUACCGUGUUGCAAUUUUUUUGAGUGAUUUGCGUGAAAGUAGAUAUGCAUUUGCGACGUUUGAAGGUUCAGUCAAAAGUUGUUAACGUGCU
Molecule: long non-coding RNA, 373 nt
Filed under: Glycine max (soybean)
Lineage: Eukaryota; Viridiplantae; Streptophyta; Magnoliopsida; Fabales; Fabaceae
Description: long non-coding RNA (GMAX_LNC001928)
Source: RNAcentral